RNAcentral lists this transfer RNA (73 nucleotides) under Bellilinea caldifistulae. Its description in RNAcentral is "tRNA-Lys". It matches the Rfam family "tRNA". From Rfam's summary of the family: Transfer RNA (tRNA) molecules are approximately 80 nucleotides in length. The record is from RNAcentral. RNAcentral also lists the same sequence under 5 other names. Lineage: Bacteria; Bacillati; Chloroflexota; Anaerolineae; Anaerolineales; Anaerolineaceae.
GGCCCGUUAGCUCAAUAGGUAGAGCAGCGGACUCUUAAUCCGCGGGUUGAAGGUUCGAGUCCUUCACGGGUCA